Molecule: ribosomal RNA, 305 nt
Filed under: uncultured bacterium
Lineage: Bacteria
Description: bacterial SSU rRNA
Rfam family: Bacterial small subunit ribosomal RNA
Source: RNAcentral
ACCUACGGGGCGCAGCAGUGAGGAAUAUUGGUCAAUGGGCGGGAGCCUGAACCAGCCAAGCCGCGUGAGGGAAGAAGGUACAGCGUAUCGUAAACCUCUUUUGUCAGGGAACAAAGGCGGGGACUAGUCCCCGGAUGAGGGUACCUGAAGAAAAAGCAUCGGCUAACUCCGUGCCAGCAGCCGCGGUAAUACGGAGGAUGCGAGCGUUAUCCGGAUUUAUUGGGUUUAAAGGGUGCGCAGGCGGCGAGUUAAGUCAGCGGUAAAAUUUCGGGGCUCAACCCCGACGAGCCGUUGAAACUGGCUUG